RNAcentral lists this transfer RNA (69 nucleotides) under Ictidomys tridecemlineatus (thirteen-lined ground squirrel). RNAcentral's name for it is "Spermophilus tridecemlineatus (thirteen-lined ground squirrel) tRNA". It matches the Rfam family "tRNA". Rfam says of the family: Transfer RNA (tRNA) molecules are approximately 80 nucleotides in length. Their secondary structure includes four short double-helical elements and three loops (D, anti-codon, and T loops). The record is from Rfam by way of RNAcentral. Lineage: Eukaryota; Metazoa; Chordata; Mammalia; Rodentia; Sciuridae.
GGGGCUGUAGCUCAGUGGCAGAGUGCUUGCCUAGCAUGCAUGAGGCUCUGGGUUCGAUCCUCAGCACCA